UGGGGAAUAUUGCACAAUGGGGGAAACCCUGAUGCAGCCAUGCCGCGUGUGUGAAGAAGGCCUUCGGUUGUAAGCACUUUCUAGCGAGGAGGAAAGGGUUAGGUAGGCUAAUAAACUAGCCAGCUGUGACGUUACUCGCAGAAGAAGCACCGGCUAACUCCGUGCCAGCAGCCGCGGUAAUACGGGAGGGUGCAAGCGUUAAUCGGAAUUACUGGGCGUAAAGCGUGCGCAGGCGGUUAUGUAAGACAGAGGUGAAAUCCCCGGGCUCAACCUGGGAACUGCCUUUGUGACUGCAUAGCUAGAGUACGGUAGAGGGGGAUGGAAUUCCGCGUGUAGCAGUGAAAUGCGUAGAUAUGCGGAGGAACACCGAUGGCGAAGGCAAUCCCCUGGACCUGUACUGACGCUCAUGCACGAAAGCGUGGGGAGCAAACAGGAUUAGAUACCCU
This 446-nucleotide ribosomal RNA is filed under the name uncultured Acidovorax sp. Its description in RNAcentral is "bacterial SSU rRNA". It matches the Rfam family "Bacterial small subunit ribosomal RNA", at positions 355 to 788 of the family's 1533-position model. The record is from RNAcentral. Lineage: Bacteria; Pseudomonadati; Pseudomonadota; Betaproteobacteria; Burkholderiales; Comamonadaceae.